This 212-nucleotide long non-coding RNA is filed under the name Mytilus galloprovincialis (Mediterranean mussel). The record is from RNAcentral. Lineage: Eukaryota; Metazoa; Mollusca; Bivalvia; Mytilida; Mytilidae.
UAAAAAUAUUGAUAGGUCAUGGACCUUCUUUUCGAGAUAUUUGAGAUUUAAAAUAUGGCGGGAAAAGGCUGACUCGGACUUUUACCUUAUAUUUGCAUUCGUAUUAUUUGGGUCUCAAAACAGAAGAAAGAAAAUCAAGAAUCUUCUAAAAUUUUGGUAAAUGACCUUUUAUGAGCUAUUAAGUCUUAUAUGAAAAAAUAAAUGGGUGUUAU